This is a non-coding RNA of Caenorhabditis elegans, 21 nucleotides long. The record is from Ensembl. NCBI's taxonomy places the organism in Eukaryota, Metazoa, Nematoda, Chromadorea, Rhabditida, Rhabditidae.
UUGAGCGAUCGUUAGGAGUAG